UAUUGUGAACCGCGAAUGGCUCAUUACAACAGCCAUAGUUUACUGGAUAUAUUCCAUUACAUGGAUAACUGUGGUAAUUCUACAGCUAAUACACGCAUCAAAGCCCUGACUUCGGAAAGGGUGCGUUAGUUACUUCAAACUGAUCGGUCUUCGGACUGCCAUCAAGUGAGAUUGAACUAUUUAGCUGAUCGCACGGUCUAAGCACCGGCGACAUAUCCUUCAAAUGUCUGCCUUAUCAACUUUCGAUGGUAGAUUAUGCGCCUACCAUGGUUGUAACGGGUAACGGAGAAUCAGGGUUUGAUUCCGGAGAGGGAGCCUGAGAAAUGGCUACCACAUCCAAGGAAGGCAGCAGGCACGCAAAUUACCCACUCCCGGCACGGGGAGGUAGUGACGAAAAAUAACAAGCUGGUCUCUUUGAGUUCCGGCAUUGUAAUGGGAACAACUUAAAUCAUUUAUCGAGGAUCUAUUGGAGGGCAAGUCUGGUGCCAGCAGCCGCGGUAAUUCCAGCUCCAAUAGCGUAUAUUAAAGUUGUUGCGGUUAAAAAGCUCGUAGUUGGAUCUACGAUCAAGGCUCGUGGUCGUUCUUCUCGAAUGUACUGCGAUGUCUGGUCGAUUUAUCUGGUGAACGAUUGAUGCUCUUCAUUGAGUGUCUCUAGUUGCUGGAACGUUUACCUUGAAAAAAUUGAAGUGCUCAAAGCAGGCUCUUGCCUGAACAUUGCUGCAUGGGAUAAUAGAAUAGGACUUCGGUUCUAUUUUGUUGGUUUCGGAACGCGGAGUAAUGAUUAAUAGGGACAGACGGGGGCAUUCGUAUUGCUGCGUUAGAGGUGAAAUUCUUGGAUCGUAGCAAGACGACCUACUGCGAAAGCAUUGCCAAGAAUG
This 878-nucleotide ribosomal RNA is filed under the name Oncholaimus sp. 1 LM-2017. RNAcentral's name for it is "SSU rRNA". It matches the Rfam family "Eukaryotic small subunit ribosomal RNA", at positions 77 to 966 of the family's 1831-position model. The record is from RNAcentral. Lineage: Eukaryota; Metazoa; Nematoda; Enoplea; Enoplida; Oncholaimidae.